Molecule: long non-coding RNA, 263 nt
Filed under: Capsicum annuum
Lineage: Eukaryota; Viridiplantae; Streptophyta; Magnoliopsida; Solanales; Solanaceae
Description: long non-coding RNA (CANN_LNC014787)
Source: RNAcentral
CCCCUUUUUAACAUCAUCAAAGAUAUAAAAUAGUAAACCAAGAUAAAAUAAGCACAUAUGUUAAUGCAUGAUCAUUGAGGCUACACUGACAUGAGCAAGUAAAAUUAAAAAAAAAAAGAAAAGAAUGAUAGCAAUGGAACACAUGAAUUUAUUGAUCAUCCAAGUUAGCAUCAUAUAUUAUUCAUAACAACAAUGGUCUAAAAUCAAGUGCGGGAAAAACCACUACAGAAGAUUAGAAAUAAACAAUACUUAAUGAGAAAAAA